UGGGGAAUCUUGCACAAUGGGCGAAAGCCUGAUGCAGCAACGCCGCGUGCGGGAAGACAGCCCUAGGGUUGUAAACCGCUUUCAGCAGGGAAGAAACUGACGGUACCUGCAGAAGAAGAUGCGGCCAACUACGUGCCAGCAGCCGCGGUGACACGUAGGCAUCAAGCGUUAUCCGGAUUUAUUGGGCGUAAAGAGCUCGUAGGCGGUUCGGUAAGUCGGGUGUGAAAACUCUGGGCUCAACCCAGAGAGGCCACUCGAUACUGCUGUGACUAGAGUGCGGUAGGGGAGCGGGGAAUUCCUGGUGUAGCGGUGAAAUGCGCAGAUAUCAGGAGGAACACCAGUGGCGAAGGCGCCGCUCUGGGCCGUAACUGACGCUGAGGUGCGAAA
RNAcentral lists this ribosomal RNA (387 nucleotides) under uncultured bacterium. Its description in RNAcentral is "bacterial SSU rRNA". It matches the Rfam family "Bacterial small subunit ribosomal RNA", at positions 355 to 758 of the family's 1533-position model. The record is from RNAcentral.